CAGAGUACAAGUUCCCAGGAGAGGGGCUGGGCCUCUCCAGGCAGGAACUGGAAUCAGAGGCUCCCCCUGCUACUCGCUGGGAGCGAAGAACAUUAGGAAUGACUUUCAACGCCAUAGUUCCUGUACUGUCUCACAGUAGCCACGCAGCUUGGGGACAAUCAAACUGCUGCUUAGCCUCACCUCAGCAGGAAUCCAGAUGCAGGCCAAGUACAGCAGCACGAGGGAUAUGCUGGAUGCUGAUGGGGACACCAUCAUGAGUGUGCAAUCUCGAGCCUCUUCUACAACCCAGCAGCCAGAGCUCAGGCACACAGGGCACCGGUCUCCCUCUUCAGUGUGGCGUCCAGUGGCCCUGACCUUGCUGUCUUUGUGUUUGGUGCUGCUGAUUGGCCUGUUAGCCCUGGGGCUUGUGUUUUUUCAGAUCUACCAGCUUUCCAAUACUCAGCAAGACAGCAUUUCUCACAAGGAAGAAAGAUUGGGGAAUCUCUCCCGACAGCUGCAAUCCCUCCAAACCAAGAACAGGAAGCUUGCAGAAAUCCUGCAGCGUGUGGCUGAAAAACUGUGUCGUGAACUCUAUAACAAAAGUGGAGAAAACAGAUGCAGCCCUUGUCCAGAAGAAUGGAAGUGGCAUGGGGACAAAUGCUACCGGUUCUAUAGAGAAAGCAAGAGUUGGCAAGGCUGUGAAUAUUUCUGCAUUGCUGAGAACGCGACCAUGCUGAAGAUAAACACACAAGAAGUGUUGGACUUUGCCAUGCCUCAGAGCUACUCUGAGUUUUUCUACUCUUAUUGGACAGGGCUAUCCCGCAACGGCAGUGGCAAGGCCUGGCUGUGGAUGGAUGGAGCCCCUUACUCCUCUGAACUGUUUGAGAUUAUAAUAGAUUUUACCAGUCUGAGAAACAGGGACUGUGUGACCAUCCUCAAUGGAAAAGCUUUCUCAAAGGACUGCAAAGAGUUGAGGCGGUGUGCAUGUGAAAGAAGGGCGGCCACAGUGAAGCCUGAGAGCCUCCAUUAGUUUCCCUGCACCAUUACAUGGAAGUGAUUGACUCUCCCAUCAUAAUUACAAUAUCAAGCUCUCUUCAGGGAGAUUGAAGAUCAGAACAGAAGUUAGUCUAUUUAUGUGUACCUGUACUAGUUUGGUUUCAGUUCCUAUCUUCUCUCAUAUGAUCCAUGUUUAUACAAAAAUUGAGCAAAAAGGUUGAGCCAAGCAAAGUCAAUGCAAAGGAUAUUUAAGCCAUUGGAAGAUGGGAGAAAAAUAGGAAAGGCAAUUUUUCUGACUGGUGGAGGAAGGAUUUUCAUGUUUCUUGUUCAGGAUCACCAGCAUUUCUGAGCUUCAUGCAUAUAUUUACCAGUCACAGAGAAGUCCUAUCUAUGUACCAACCAGUCCCAGAAUCUCAUAAAGUUGUCAUCCACCUUCUUGACUCAGAGAUAACUUUCCAGUGUUUUUCCUUCUUAGCAUCUAAUAUCAUCUCCCUAUUUCCAUGUCUUCCUUCAUAUUGAAGGAAGUGAGAAACUUACUGAAAUAGAGGAAAUAAAUGUGUGUGACAUCCUUUGUGGCUCAGUCAGUUUAGCAUCUGACUCUUGAUUUCAGCUCAGGUCAUGAUCUUAGGGUCCUGGAAUUGAGCCCUGCAUUGAGCUUUCUGCUGAGUGGAGCCUGCUUAAGAUUCUAUCUAUCCCCUCCUCUAUCCACCUUCCUCCAACUCACAACCUCAAUCUCUCUCUCUCUUUCUCUCAAAGAAACUCCAAUGAUUGUGUCCUCUCUCUAGGAAUUUCUUCCAGGAAAGAAAUAUUCUCAGCUCAGUUCCAUAUCCAAAUUACUGUCCUCGAUGCUCCUUCAGAAAGACUGAAGACGAGAGCAAAAGUCAGUCUCUUCAUGAAGGUCUAUAAUAAGUUUCAGCUCCUAUUCCAUCUGAUUCAUGUUUAUGCCUUCCAGUGAAGAAAUUGGAGAACAGGAGAUGCACUUGAAAGUGCCUGAGUGUUACUUCUUCAAAAAAGGCAUCCAGAUGGCCAACAGACACCUGAAAGGAUGCUCAACACCACUUAUCGUCAGGGAAAUGUAACCGAACCACAGUGAGAUAUCCCCUCAUACCUGUCAGAAUGGCUAAAAUAAAAAACUCAAGAAACAACAAGCAUUAGUGAGGAUGUGGAGAAAAAGGAAUCCCUGUGUGUAUUAUUGUUGGAAAGGCACACUAGUGCAGCCAUGUGGAAAACAGUAUAGCUGCCUGUCUUCCUUUUAAUUUGAAAAUCCAUCUCUCUGUCCUACCAUCCUACUGGUUUAAAAGAGAAAAUGCAUAGAAAUCUGGCAGGUAGAGACUUUAAAUAAAAGGCCACAUUUAUUUAUUUGUUUAUUUGUUUAAAAAAAUGGCUAGAAAUGUAUCAUCUCCCCAGUGGCUUAUAGAUUUUUGAGUGGAGUUUAUAGUCACUAUAGGCUAUAAAAUUUAAAAAGUACAAAGAAAUUAUUUUUCUUCAUUUUGUUCUCCCCUUUCAGGAUUUUGUCCUCUAUAGGCUAUAAAUUGAUUUUAUUCUUGGCAAAUUAAACAAUAUCAAAUAAAGGCCUGGAAAGUAUUGAAGAAAACUACCAAGUGUAAAUGUAGAGAUAGGUUUUGAGUCCCAGGUAGUGAGUUUAGUAGCCCACACAUAAGUUUACUUCUGCACUUGCUCUUAGAAUUUUGUGGCAGGUUUUCCAAUGGCCUAUUCAACAUACUAUCAUAAUAGAUCUCUUCAAGUACAAUUUUUUUUCAGUUAGAGGAUCUCAAUGCAUACUUCUCACAGAUAAAAUAUUUCCAAAUGCUGCAGUUAGCAGAAGAAAGGAACUUGUCCUUUAGAUAUCCACAGAGCUGGUUAGUUGAUUGCAAUGUCUGUACUGGCGACCUGGAGAAGCAAGUCAGUGGAUUUGACGUUAGGGUAACUGGUGAGAGGUGGGUAGCUUUUAUGUUUUGCUUUGUUUUAAUAUGGUACCCUCCUGUAGCACUCUCUUUCUUCAGUAAUAGAACUGUUUUCUCUCAAUAAAAAAUAUGUUAACAUAAUAUCAAAAAACCUUAUAAAAACAAAUACACAAAAAUAAGCUGUAAUGUAGGAUCUCUUUCCUGACUCUUAAUUCUCAGAAUACUAAAGCACCUAAUCCUGUUCACCAAUCUUCCUAGUUCUAUCUAAAAAAAUUAAUAGGGAAAAAUAAAUCAAAGUAAAAAGUUUAACAGGGAAAUCUCUUAAUAGUUCCUAUAACUUUUUUCUCCUAGCAUUCUCUAGCCAUUAAAUGAUAUACGUGAAAAUUAUAUUGUUCAUUCAGCAUCUCAAAUUUUGUUGUGAAUGUGCUAGAGCAUCAUGGCAGCAGGACCGAAAGGAGGAAGAUUUGGAAACCAUGAAGCUACUCUUAAAUUACCUCAGUUUUGAUUCCAAUCAAAAGCCUGUGGAAUGAUCAUGCUGGCUAUGUCUUCUGGAGAAUAUUUGAGGUGUAAAAUAAAAUGAACUUUGGAAUCCCCUCA
Canis lupus familiaris (dog) is the source of this 3476-nucleotide RNA transcript. It is a transcript of the gene named C-type lectin domain family 1 member A, with no coding region annotated. The transcript has 7 exons. Lineage: Eukaryota; Metazoa; Chordata; Mammalia; Carnivora; Canidae. The record is from RefSeq and is a predicted model, not a curated record.